UAACCGUGGAGGGUCAUUGGAAACUGGAGGACUUGAGUGCAGAAGAGGAGAGUGGAAUUCCAUGUGUAGCGGUGAAAUGCGUAGAGAUAUGGAGGAACACCAGUGGCGAAGGCGACUCUCUGGUCUGUAACUGACGCUGAGGAGCGAAAGCGUGGGUAGCGAACAGGAUUAGAUACCCUGGUAGUCCACGCCGUAAACGAUGAGUGCUAGGUGUUAGGGGGUUUCCUCCCCUUAGUGCUGAAGUUAACGCAUUAAGCACUCCGCCUGGGGAGUACGGCCGCAAGGCUGAAACUCAAAAGAAUUGACGGGGACCCGCACAAGCGGUGGAGCAUGUGGUUUAAUUCGAAGCAACGCGAAGAACCUUACCAGGUCUUGACAUCCUUUCGACCUCCCUAGAGAUAGGGAUUUCCCUUCGGGGACGAAAGUGACAGGUGGUGCAUGGUUGUCGUCAGCUCGUGUCGUGAGAUGUUGGGUUAAGUCCCGCAACGAGCGCAACCCUUGAUCUUAGUUGCCAGCAUUAAGUUGGGCACUCUAAGGUGACUGCCGGUGACAAACCGGAGGAAGGUGGGGAUGACGUCAAAUCAUCAUGCCCCUUAUGACCUGGGCUACACACGUGC
RNAcentral lists this ribosomal RNA (617 nucleotides) under Bacilli bacterium. RNAcentral's name for it is "bacterial SSU rRNA". It matches the Rfam family "Bacterial small subunit ribosomal RNA", at positions 610 to 1225 of the family's 1533-position model. Lineage: Bacteria; Bacillati; Bacillota; Bacilli. The record is from RNAcentral.